This is a long non-coding RNA of Brassica napus (rape), 1365 nucleotides long. RefSeq lists it as uncharacterized. NCBI's taxonomy places the organism in Eukaryota, Viridiplantae, Streptophyta, Magnoliopsida, Brassicales, Brassicaceae. The record is from RefSeq and is a predicted model, not a curated record. The transcript has 5 exons.
AGGGUUUUCCUGUAUCGUCUUCUACCUUCUCAUCCUCGACCGCGAGACCAGAGAUUCGAGCCUGUUCAAAAUCCUUAACGCCUCCAAUUUCAAUAACUCUGCAACUUAACUCCACCUCACCCCUUUUAAUCCAGUCCUUCCACUUGAAUUGCUCAAUCAAUACACCUCUUCGUAUUCCACCGUACCCAGCUUAAUCCUCAGCUAUAAAUACGGCAUCUCACCAUCUUAAGAUGCACACCUCAAAUCAGACAGUAAUGGCACUCACCAACGCUCUCCAGUAUAUCCGGUUCAAUGCCUCUUUACUCCUCCUGAAACUCUCUCAUGGUAUAGAUAUGUAGAACGCCGGAGACCUUCGAGGCAAAGCUUUUUCGUCCUGCUUGAAUAUUAAACAAGCACUCGCUUUCUGAAACCCCGACAAUCUUGAAUCAAGAGCUACGUUUCUCUGAGCUGAAGGCUGGUACCAGGGAAUUAAUCCCGCUGGAGCUUUUCAUGUUUUCCAAUUACGACCAGUUGAUGUUGUAGGUGAACCACCAACACCUAUUUGCCCGAUAUUUUUUUCAUAUCUCCCGAAGAUUAAAAGAGAUCUCAAAACUUGGGCAGCCAUGGCAAGCACCAAAGUCCAGAGGAUUAUGAUCCAGCUAAUUAAAGAUCUGGGCACAGAAGAAAUAUGAAUUCAUUAGAAAAGAAAAUACCCAUCUGAGCGAGAGCCUCCAACUUCAACAAGCUUCCUACACCUCAUACUCUUUCUUGCCGUGUUGAGGAAGAGUUAUGUCCCUCUUAGCCAAGCCCUAAAGUCCAGCAAGAAAGAGUUGAGGCUAGACUAAGAGAAGGCAGAGCAGUGAACAUGCGCAUGAUUUGUUGUCGCAAGGAAAAUGCGACAAGUACAAUACUUGCCUUUGGAGAUUGAUAACCGAGCUUAGAUGCUACGCCACUAAACCGAACCAAGACGCCAUACCCAAAAUAUCCGACCAGAAGAGGAAUCUGGCUUAGUAGGUGUUCAAUCAGUUUCUCGAAGAUAGCCAUGACGAGGAACAUUGAGAUGAGAAUGUCUGUAACUACAAAACCAGAGGAAACGGCGUUAACUAAGUCAUCAAAUCGAGAUUUGCAUGGUUCUUCUCGCCAGUUGUACACCAGAGCUCCAAUGGGAGGCCAUGGAUGGUUCUUCUGGCCUUAGUGUUGUUAGUUCGUUAAGGUGAAAUAGAGAGAGAAGUUAGAUGAAAAAGGAGAAGAUAGUGAGCAAUAUGUGAUAAUGUGAAAGUUUUGGGAUUUUGUUAGAAAUUAAAGAAUUGUAACUUUUUGGGGACACACGUUGUCUUCUUACUCUGCUUUUUUGAGAUUUGCAAAGAAAAUAGUGAUGUUUGCUAU